CUUCAGCCAAAAAAAGCACGCUCAUCGUUUCCAGCGUUUGCUAGCACUCAGGUCCAAACUCUUAUGCAGUUCUCACACCUGCAUCCCAUGAAGAGGAUCAAGGCCCUCUCCUCCCCAGUAGACCACGUCUCUCCCUUAUCCUCUCCUCCCUGUGUGCCCUA
This is a non-coding RNA of Notechis scutatus (mainland tiger snake), 161 nucleotides long. The record is from RefSeq and is a predicted model, not a curated record. Lineage: Eukaryota; Metazoa; Chordata; Lepidosauria; Squamata; Elapidae.